CCUACGGGAGGCAGCAGUGAGGAAUAUUGGUCAAUGGGCUUACGCCUGAACCAGCCAAGUCGCGUGAGGGAAGACUGCCCUAUGGGUUGUAAACCUCUUUUGUCAGGGAGCAACGCCGGCUACGUGUAGCCGGACUGAGAGUACCUGAAGAAAAAGCAUCGGCGAACUCCGUGCCAGCAGCCGCGGUAAUACGGAGGAUGCGAGCGGUAUCCGGAUUUAUUGGGUGUAAGGGGUGCGUAGGCGGAAUGCCAAGUAAGCGGUAAAACCGCGGGGCUCAACCUCGCUCCGCUGUUGAAACUGGCGUGCUUGAGUGGGCGAGAAGUAUGCGGAAUGCGUGGUGUAGCGGUGAAAGGCAUAGAUAUCACGCAGAACUCCGAUUGCGAAGGCAGCAUACCGGCGCCCAACUGACGCUGAAGCACGAAAGCGUGGGUAUCGAACAGGAUUAGAUACCCCGGUAGUC
Molecule: ribosomal RNA, 460 nt
Filed under: uncultured bacterium
Lineage: Bacteria
Description: partial 16S ribosomal RNA
Rfam family: Bacterial small subunit ribosomal RNA
Source: RNAcentral